Molecule: non-coding RNA, 21 nt
Filed under: Arabidopsis thaliana (thale cress)
Lineage: Eukaryota; Viridiplantae; Streptophyta; Magnoliopsida; Brassicales; Brassicaceae
Source: RNAcentral
UACUUUUGCUGAGUGGGUCUA